GAUGAACGCUGGCGGCGUGCCUAAUACAUGCAAGUCGAGCGAACGGACGAGAAGCUUGCUUCUCUGAUGUUAGCGGCGGACGGGUGAGUAACACGUGGAUAACCUACCUAUAAGACUGGGAUAACUUCGGGAAACCGGAGCUAAUACCGGAUAAUAUUUUGAACCGCAUGGUUCAAAAGUGAAAGACGGUCUUGCUGUCACUUAUAGAUGGAUCCGCGCUGCAUUAGCUAGUUGGUAAGGUAACGGCUUACCAAGGCAACGAUGCAUAGCCGACCUGAGAGGGGGGUCAGCCACACUAGAACUGGGACACGGGCCAGACUCCUACGGGAAGCAGCCGGAGGGAAUCUUCCGCAAUGGGCGAAAGCCUGACGGAGCAACGCCGAGUGAGUGAUGAAGGUCUUCGGAUCGUAAAACUCUGUUAUUAGGGAAGAACAUAUGUGUAAGUAACUGUGCACAUCUUGACGGUACCUAAUCAGAAAGCCACGGCUAACUACGUG
Molecule: ribosomal RNA, 497 nt
Filed under: uncultured bacterium
Lineage: Bacteria
Description: partial 16S ribosomal RNA
Rfam family: Bacterial small subunit ribosomal RNA
Source: RNAcentral